RNAcentral lists this transfer RNA (72 nucleotides) under Capsicum annuum. It matches the Rfam family "tRNA". Rfam says of the family: Transfer RNA (tRNA) molecules are approximately 80 nucleotides in length. Their secondary structure includes four short double-helical elements and three loops (D, anti-codon, and T loops). The record is from Rfam by way of RNAcentral. Lineage: Eukaryota; Viridiplantae; Streptophyta; Magnoliopsida; Solanales; Solanaceae.
GAGUCCUUAGCUCAGUGGUAGAGUAUUUUAUUGGAGAUCAAGAGGUCACUAGUUCAAAUUUGGCAGGGCCCU